UGCAUAUGUAACAAAUUUAAAGCUUCACUUAUCUCUUAUCUACAGUAUUUUAUAAAUGGCUACAGACAGAGCUGUGCAUGUUUUCAACACAGGACAUGAUACUGCAAACAACUCUUACUCCCUGGCAUAGGACUUACAACUGAGCUCUUCUACAGACAUCACCACCAAGCGACAGAAGCGCUGAUCAAAGGGAAGAGCCUGGCUGAAGGGCAAUCAGCCAGCCUGUGGUGAGAAGCAUCUAAGUUUGUAAGGACGCUGAAAGUGUUAGAGUGACUGGAAUGUUAAUUGCUUCAGGAGCUGAAAGUUAAGGCGGGGAAAGGAUUGUUCCACUAUAAGAAUCCCAUUACUUAGCCACUGUCUCAGAGAACUGAAGAUGGGGUUACAAGCUCUCAGAAAAAUCCACCACAGCAGGAGAGGGAUAAAAAACAAAAAACUCACCCCAUCACAGGAUUUAGCACUAUCGCUCUAGGUUCAUCUAGAUUUUCCGAUAUAAGGAUCUUUCUGGAUGUCCCAUUCAAUCGGGUUACUUCAAUGCGAUCUGUUCCUGUGUCAGUCCAGUACAGGUUCCUUGCCACCCAGUCUACUGAUAUGCCAUCAGGAUGAUUAAUUUCCGUGGUCACUAGGGUCUGUGCUCCAGAACCAUCAAGAAUAAUGUCAGUGAAGUCUGGCAUGUCCAAGGAGAUUCUUCGCAAAUCUGUCCUUCUAGCGAGCAGCAAGACUUCCUCGGCACCUGGGAAAGAGCAUUAACACUGUAAUUUUGCAACUACAGAGUGCUCCUUCACCUGUCACAAGCAUAUUUAAACCAUAAUGUAGCAGUUUGAUGACAGAGAAGAAUUGCCACACAGAAAAAAAGGAGUACAGGCAUUAAAACAAUGGGAGGUGUACCUCACUUCAGGGGUGCCCAAAUAUUGCCCAGGUAAGGGGCCACACAUUAGCAACUUGCCAGUACCCCUAAGAACUACACCUAAUUUGCCUCAGGCCUAAGAAAAAGAUACAACCCCACAUGCCACAGGCUAUAGUUCCAUUGAGCAUCACAUGCUGCACUAGAGAAUUCAGUGAGACACGGUUUAGGGACCCAGGCUGUAUGGGUGGAUAGAGCUAGAAGUGGUGUUGCAUUGAGGUUGCUACUACUAUCCCCUCCAAACCAAGCUGCACUUCUGAACCGAUGCUCCAUGGAGCCAUCCUUGGAAGUCUCCUCUUACAUCAAAUCUUAUUUUCCUAAGUGUAACAGACUGAUAAUUUCCUGAAUUAACUUUACUGAAUUAGCAGCAAAGAGUCCUGCGGCACCUUAUAGACUAACAGACGUUUUGGAGCAUGAGUUUUCGUGAAUUAGGUUAAUACCUUUGGGGUCCACUGUAUUAAAAAUACAAUAGUGCAUGUGGAAUAUAUGAAAUUGUAUGCAUUUCCAUGGGAAGGAUAAACAGGAGAAGAGAAGGGGGUGAUUAGGCCAAUUCACUCAGGUUGUAGCAUCUUCAGA
This 1477-nucleotide long non-coding RNA is filed under the name Gopherus evgoodei (Goodes thornscrub tortoise). RNAcentral describes it as "lncRNA (ENSGEVG00005012900.1)". Lineage: Eukaryota; Metazoa; Chordata; Testudines; Testudinidae. The record is from RNAcentral.